CUUGGUCAUUUAGAGGAAGUAAAAGUCGUAACAAGGUUUCCGUAGGUGAACCUGCGGAAGGAUCAUUACUGAGUUAGGGUCUUCUAGGCCCGACCUCCAACCCUUGUGUUUAACAUACCACGUUGCUUCGGCGGGCCCGCCCCUCUGGGGGCCGCCGGGGGUUCACUGAACCUCUGGCCUGUUGCCCGUCGGUGGCCAACCAACAAACUCUUAGUGAACUGUGUUGUCUAAGUCUUAAAUCAUAAUUAAAUCAAAACUUUCAACAACGGAUCUCUUGGUUCUGGCAUCGAUGAAGAACGCAGCGAAAUGCGAUAAGUAAUGCGAAUUGCAGAAUUUCAGUGAGUCAUCGAAUCUUUGAACGCACAUUGCGCCCUUUGGUAUUCCGAAGGGCAUGCCUGUUCGAGCGUCAUUAUCACCUCUCAAGCCUGGCUUGAUGUUGGACCGGGAGUCCCGUCACACGGACUGGUCCCAAAGACAAUGACGGCGUCUGUUGGGCCCUCGGUGCAACGAGCUUUCUUUGUAAGGCACGCACGCGAGCUUAAAGGCCCUUCAGCACGGUCUUUACCUUUCUCCUCAAGGUUGACCUCGGAUCAGGUAGGAAUACCCGCUGAACUUAAGCAUAUCAAUAAGCGGAGGA
RNAcentral lists this ribosomal RNA (637 nucleotides) under uncultured fungus. RNAcentral's name for it is "eukaryotic LSU rRNA". The stretch from base 255 to 409 matches the Rfam family "5.8S ribosomal RNA". Lineage: Eukaryota; Fungi. The record is from RNAcentral.